UUGAAUCAUUUGAUUCGGUAACUUUUUAUUUUUUUGUAAAUCUUUUGAAAUCUUUUGAAAUCUUUUUAUUAAAUCUCGCCAUCCCGCCGCAAAAAUUUCAUACAUAUUUUUGUCGUAGUGUAUACUUCUGUCAAACUUUUUUGGUGUCUGUUCUUUCAAAAACAUUACCGAUCAGAAUUUUCUUUGGAUGCAUUGAUCCGAAUGUGUUACCCAGGAACAGUCCGCAGAACUACCAGCAGCAAAAUUCUAGGAGAUUCUGUUCGCUCAAGCCUCUGAUGGGCCUCGCAAAACGCUCAACUUUGCUACUCCCGGACCAUUCCCGGACCAAAACGUGUAUAAAACCGGAUCUCGUGAGGAAAUGAGUUCCGUGGAUCAAGUUUCUCUUUAACCAAGCAGACGGAAACCAUUGAGUGCUCCUCAAACUUGAAGGUGCCCGGUAACAUAAAAAGCAAUACUGGUACUGCCGAUGCCGUGAGGGUCGCGUUGGCUACGAGACAACUAUGACAGAUAACGGUUUGCGGGUUGAGUUUCUUCGCGAGAGAAACGAGCACGGUGGAGUGAAAAACACAUGAGAUCGGGGCAAUCACAGGGCUCCCAGUUCCGCGUCAUGGUAAUAAGAUUGUUUGCUUCUGGCUCGUGGGAGAUUCGUCCAUAAUGCGAUGUGCAUUCUCGGUUACGCCAGCAAGACCAAUUGGAAACAUCAUUCAAACGAAUCGGUGCAUAUGGAUGCACGCAUUUGGGGUUCUCUUCCCCAUUAAGAAAUGGGAUUAUUAGAAAUUCCGGUGAGAUAAGCCGCGAUAAAAACGAAGAGCAGCACGAAUGCGAUUGCGAGAAGAAACUACCAAUAAUGACAACAAAAGCGUUGAUCAUCUAGAGUUGGCCGCUGAUCUGAGGAAAGUAAAGGUACCUAAUGCUGUAAAAGGGAAUCCAGUCAAAGUUUAUAUAGAUACGUGAUACUAUAGCACACAGAUGGCUAAAUAUGUGCUGAAUUGGUGGCUGCCAUUGAAAAAAAGCAUCAGAGACUUCGACUUCGUAACGAUACCAAUCUAUUUUGAUUUGACACGGUAUACUGCAAUAAUGGGAUUGGACAACAAGGCAGCAGGUCUUCAGUGGUGAUCGCAAACUGCGAAUAUAGGCAAAGUUCAGACUAUGGAUGUACGACCGAACAAUUAUAUUCAGGAACUACACAUUGUUCAUCAACGUCGACGGCAAGAACUGCCAGUUGGUGAGAGCUCCCUGAAAACUGAACAACACCCAAGAUAUCGA
Long non-coding RNA from Armigeres subalbatus, 1266 nucleotides. RefSeq lists it as uncharacterized. The transcript has 3 exons. The record is from RefSeq and is a predicted model, not a curated record. NCBI's taxonomy places the organism in Eukaryota, Metazoa, Arthropoda, Insecta, Diptera, Culicidae.